Molecule: long non-coding RNA, 446 nt
Organism: Cucurbita moschata (crookneck pumpkin)
Lineage: Eukaryota; Viridiplantae; Streptophyta; Magnoliopsida; Cucurbitales; Cucurbitaceae
Exons: 2
Source: RefSeq, a predicted model, not a curated record
UGAUAUUAGUCGUAAGGGUCAAGUGGGUUAUCUCGUGAUAUUAGUCGUAAGGGUCAUGGGUAUAAUAAGGAGUUUAGAGGGAGUGAAUUUAAUCAAUGGUGACCACUUAGAUUUAACAUCUUACUCGUGUUUUUGGUGUCUAGAUGUUGUAUGGGUCAAGUGGUGGGUUGUCUCGUGAGAUUAGUCGUAAGGGUCAUGGGUAUAAUAAGGAGUUCAGAGGGAGUGAAUUCAAUCAAUAGCGACCACUUAGAUUUAAUAUCCUACAGCUUAUUUUGGGGGUCGAGAUAUUGUAGGGUCGAGCAAGUUUUUAGACGAGUUGCAUUCAAUUGGUAUCUUUUAUGACAACUCUUUUAUUACUAAAACUUCGAUCAUUGAUGUAUCAACAAAUUUAGCUAUUGAUCUGAAAUUCAACCUGAAGUUAAUGCAUAUCAAUCAUUCACUAUAAA